CUCUCGCCAUAGAAAACAAAGCUGAACGUCUUCCAUAACAGCUAGGGGUGCAGACUUGAGGAAUAUCCGAAUUUAGCCUGGAUACAUUAUGCUGAAUAUGGAUUUACAGGGGGUGUAGCAUCGUUGGAGACCAAGCCUUCUCGGCUGGGGUGACGGCAGGACAUUAGCGAAACCGACGAAAAUAACAUCAGUAUUUUUUUUCUCGGGUUGCUUUGUCUUGUCCACCUAACGAUAGCAAACCAUCAUUCCCAUUUCAAUUGCAACACAUUCAGCUAGUGAUUACUAGCUGCUGCCGGGACGUAUCACCAUGUUGUCACCUAAAAGUAACUGCUAGGACGUCGGAUUGUGAAGGAUAAGCAGAAACCCUAUCUUACGGGUGUCACCGGGACCUGAACCUGUGUUAACCACAGCCGCGGAACCCACUGUUUUCGGCGAUAUGGCGGAGCAGGGCUACACAUCUUGGGCGUACUCCCUAGUUGACUCCAGCCAGGUGUCCACCUUCCUCAUCUCCAUCCUUCUCAUCGUCUAUGGCAGCUUCAGAUCAUUAAACAU
Long non-coding RNA from Micropterus salmoides (largemouth bass), 552 nucleotides. RefSeq lists it as uncharacterized. The transcript is spliced from 4 exons. The record is from RefSeq and is a predicted model, not a curated record. Lineage: Eukaryota; Metazoa; Chordata; Actinopteri; Centrarchiformes; Centrarchidae.